GGGGGCAUGACUCAAUUGAAGAGUGCCUGUCUAACAAGCACAAGAUCCUAAGUUCAAAUCCUAAUACUACCU
RNAcentral lists this transfer RNA (72 nucleotides) under Dipodomys ordii (Ord's kangaroo rat). It matches the Rfam family "tRNA". From Rfam's summary of the family: Transfer RNA (tRNA) molecules are approximately 80 nucleotides in length. Their secondary structure includes four short double-helical elements and three loops (D, anti-codon, and T loops). Further hydrogen bonds mediate the characteristic L-shaped molecular structure. tRNAs have two regions of fundamental functional importance: the anti-codon, which is responsible for specific mRNA codon recognition, and the 3' end, to which the tRNAs corresponding amino acid is attached (by aminoacyl-tRNA synthetases). tRNAs cope with the degeneracy of the genetic code in two manners: having more than one tRNA (with a specific anti-codon) for a particular amino acid; and 'wobble' base-pairing, i.e. permitting non-standard base-pairing at the 3rd anti-codon position. Lineage: Eukaryota; Metazoa; Chordata; Mammalia; Rodentia; Heteromyidae. The record is from Rfam by way of RNAcentral.